This 441-nucleotide long non-coding RNA is filed under the name Brassica napus (rape). RNAcentral's name for it is "long non-coding RNA (BNAP_LNC005931)". Lineage: Eukaryota; Viridiplantae; Streptophyta; Magnoliopsida; Brassicales; Brassicaceae. The record is from RNAcentral.
GUAAACUUGAAGUUUGAAACAAGUUAUACUUAUCCUAUUCGAGUUAUGUUUAGGAAAUAGGUAUUACUAAUGAGUUUACGGAUUUUAUAUCUCUAUAUAAAGAGAUGCUAUAUUGUGGCAUAACCUAUCAGUUUUAGAGAUCUUGUGAGAGUUUAAGCUUUAAGAUAGUUUUAUUCUUAUUGAUCUUUGAGUUCUAAACACUUUUGUUACAACAAUAUUUGGUAUCAGAGCCUCUUCAGAACAUGGGAGAGAUCCAAAGAAAAUUCAAGGCUAAAUUUGCAGACUACACACAUGUAAUUGUCCCUGCCUUGAGUCUUGACAAUUAAGAUUUAUGAUACAGAGAAAUAUGUGAAACAAAUUAUUAUAAUGGAAACACACAGAAAAGACAUUUUCAAAUGCGCCAAAACUUAAGUUAUCUACUGGUUGAAUAAUCUAUGGGUC